GAGAAAGAAAAUAUAUACAAGGGUAAAAGGAUAAACAAUUAAAUUUACCUGGCAAAGUCGCAUCUUUGAUCAAAAUAGUGUUCUCAUAAUAGAAAACCAAGAUGUAUAAACUAAACAGAUCUUGUAGAAUCAGGAGGCGCAUCGGAAUUUUAAUUUCAAUAUACCUAAUUUCUAAUUAGGUAAAAUCAGUGUUACACAAUGAUUUUCAUCAUAAAUAAAAAAAAUAAAACAAAAAUUAA
Molecule: long non-coding RNA, 239 nt
Organism: Leptinotarsa decemlineata (Colorado potato beetle)
Lineage: Eukaryota; Metazoa; Arthropoda; Insecta; Coleoptera; Chrysomelidae
Source: RefSeq, a predicted model, not a curated record